UACGGGGGGAGCAAGCGUUGUUCGGAUUUACUGGGCGUAAAGGGCGCGUAGGCGGCCUUCUAAGUCGGACGUGAAAUCCCUCGGCUUAACCGAGGAACUGCGUCCGAGACUGAAAGGCUUGAAUCCGGGAGAGGGAUGUGGAAUUCCAGGUGUAGCGGUGAAAUGCGUAGAUAUCUGGAGGAACACCGGUGGCGAAGGCGGCAUCCUGGACCGGCAUUGACGCUGAGGCGCGAAAGCGUGGGGAGCGAACAGG
This 253-nucleotide ribosomal RNA is filed under the name uncultured bacterium. RNAcentral describes it as "partial 16S ribosomal RNA". It matches the Rfam family "Bacterial small subunit ribosomal RNA", at positions 524 to 776 of the family's 1533-position model. The record is from RNAcentral.